RNAcentral lists this ribosomal RNA (450 nucleotides) under uncultured Glomeromycotina. RNAcentral's name for it is "SSU rRNA". It matches the Rfam family "Eukaryotic small subunit ribosomal RNA", at positions 569 to 1020 of the family's 1831-position model. The record is from RNAcentral. Lineage: Eukaryota; Fungi; Glomeromycota.
AGCAGCCGCGGUAAUUCCAGCUCCAAUAGCGUAUAUUAAAGUUGUUGCAGUUAAAAAGCUCGUAGUUGAAUUUCGGAAUCUGUCCGUCGGUCGGGCUUCACUGUCCGUACUGGCGUGGUGGGUUCUUACCUUCUGAAUAACCAGCAUGCCAUUCACUUGGUGCGCUGGGGAAGCAGGACUAUUACCUUGAAAAAAAUUAGAGUGCUCAAAGCAGGCCAGUGCCUGAAUACAUUAGCAUGGAAUAAUAAAAUAGGACGGCAUGGUUCUAUUUUGUUGGUUUCUAGGAUCACCGUAAUGAUUAAUAGGGAUAGUUGGGGGCAUUAGUAUUCAAUUGUCAGAGGUGAAAUUCUUGGAUUUAUUGAAGACUAACUUCUGCGAAAGCAUUUGCCAAGGAUGUUUUCAUUAAUCAAGAACGAAAGUUAGGGGAUCGAAGACGAUCAGAUACCGUCG